UUUUCCCAGAUAACUCCCGUGUCCUCUUCUCCUUCAUUGAAAAUUUUAUUUCUUUCUAAUCAUAUACUGCCUAAUGGUACUCUUUAUAGAAGUUCCAAGUACAUAUGACAUUUUAUUGUCACUUGUUAUCUUAUAUUUAUAUGGUGCAUCUAAUCUAUGAUACAAAAUUAUGGUGCAUUCUUGGAGAAAGACGGAGUAGGGUUUAGAGGGCAAGUUAAACUUACUGGAUUUCAAAAUGGGGAUAUAGAUCUCUCAAAGUCUUUAUGGACCUACUAGGUUGGGCUCAAGGGAGAAUUCUUGAAGAUAUAUGCUGCAGAAGAAAAUGAAAAGGCAGGGUGGACUGAUUUAACUCCAGAUGCUGAUCCAUCGAUAUUAACAAUUUGAUGGCACCGCCUCCACCACCUCCAACAGACCAAGCUUCAGAUGCAAAUUUAAGAGAGUCGCCAUCUAUUUUAGUUCGGGAGUCACAAGAUGAUUCUUAGUUUAUUUACAUUAAUUUACUAAGGAAUGAACUUUAUGAAGUUUUUUUUAUUUUGGUAGGGGUAACCUUAAAAUGAUAACUUUAUGACUUAUUUUAGUAUUGAACAUUAUAAAUAAUUUUAGCAUUAAACA
Molecule: long non-coding RNA, 612 nt
Organism: Humulus lupulus (European hop)
Lineage: Eukaryota; Viridiplantae; Streptophyta; Magnoliopsida; Rosales; Cannabaceae
Exons: 2
Source: RefSeq, a predicted model, not a curated record